ACGAAUGUACCAAUUAUGAGCAGAGGAUGGAUCAGCAGCAACACCAAUGCCUUGUUCCAUCAUAAAGCCAACAGCAUACUGAGCUUUAGCCAAACCUUUGCAAGCCGCUUUAUGCGCCCAAAGUAAAGCUUCUUCUCCAUUCUUAGGCAAAAUACCCUCUGAACCCGUUAAAUACCAACCGGAAAGUCCUAGUUCUGCCUCGCCA
Schizosaccharomyces pombe (fission yeast) is the source of this 205-nucleotide non-coding RNA. Lineage: Eukaryota; Fungi; Ascomycota; Schizosaccharomycetes; Schizosaccharomycetales; Schizosaccharomycetaceae. The record is from the annotation of a GenBank genome assembly.